CCUACGGGAGGCAGCAGUGGGGAAUCUUGCCCAAUGGGCGAAAGCCUGAGGCAGCAACGCCGCGUGGGGGAUGACGGCUUUCGGGUUGUAAACCCCUUUCAGCAGGGACGAAGUUGACGGUACCUGCAGAAGAAGCCCCGGCCAACUACGUGCCAGCAGCCGCGGUAAUACGUAGGGGGCGAGCGUUGUCCGGAUUUAUUGGGCGUAAAGAGCUCGUAGGCGGCUCGGUGAGUCGGAUGUGAAAUCUCCAAGCUCAACUUGGAGAGGCCAUUCGAUACUGCCGUGGCUUGAGUCCGGUAGAGGAGCAUGGAAUUCCCGGUGUAGCGGUGAAAUGCGCAGAUAUCGGGAGGAACACCAGUAGCGAAGGCGGUGCUCUGGGCCGGUACUGACGCUGAGGAGCGAGAGCGUGGGGAGCGAACAGGAUUAGAUACCCUAGUAGU
This 440-nucleotide ribosomal RNA is filed under the name uncultured bacterium. Its description in RNAcentral is "bacterial SSU rRNA". It matches the Rfam family "Bacterial small subunit ribosomal RNA", at positions 338 to 794 of the family's 1533-position model. The record is from RNAcentral.